This is an RNA transcript of Lycium ferocissimum, 2101 nucleotides long. RefSeq lists it as uncharacterized. The record is from RefSeq and is a predicted model, not a curated record. Lineage: Eukaryota; Viridiplantae; Streptophyta; Magnoliopsida; Solanales; Solanaceae. The transcript is spliced from 3 exons.
UUCUCUCCUUGCCUUCUUGUCUAUUCUUAUCUUUUCUCUAUUUCUUUUCUAGAUUCUGUGUAACAGAGCUCUGCUCUUGUUUCAGUAUCUUAUGGUUCCGAACCCCCAACUGAUGCUUACGGUGCCUGGUCAGUGGAGAAGGAGGCCGCGCGACCGUGGGGGUUUUGUAAUUCUGGGCAUCAACUUUUGGCAAAUGAUGAGCAUUUGUCUAGUCGGUAUUAGAUGCUACUGCAGAAAAAACCUAUUUUUUCUGGGUUAAAGGAACUCGCCAUAGAAAAGUGUUUUUGCAGGAGGGUUCAACCACCGUUUCAUCAAUUCCCCGGUAGCAACAACAACAAUAACAGGUUUUUUAACGCUGGGGUUUCGAUUGCAGAAAAAACUUGUUAUGGUUGUUACUGCCGGGUAAUUGAUGAAUCGGUGGUAGAACCCUCUUGCAAAAACACCUUUCUAUGACGAGUUCCUUUAACCAGAAAAAAUAGGUUUUUUCUGCAGUAGCAUUUGAUACUGACUCGACCAAUGCUCAUCAUUUGCCAAAAGGUUGAUGCCCAGAAUUUCAAAACCUUGGCGAUCGUACGGCCUCCUUCUCCACUGGUCGGGCGUUAUAAGCAUCACUUGGGGGUUCAAGACCAUAAGAUACUAGCUAGGCUCAAGGCUCAUCUCACCAAAGAGGAGGAUGAUAUGAUCAUGCGACUUGUUGAGUGUUCUAGGGAACAGCAAAUUCCGCCUGCUUUCAUCAAUGAAAACAAGAAGAUGCUGGCGAAGACCUGCUUACUGCACAAGAAUGAAGGGGUGUUGUGGGAAGGAAAGAUAAUGAGAAAGAAUUCCAAUUUCUUCAUCUGUGAAGGAGACUGGCCACAGUUUGUGGUCUAUCACAAACUGAAGCCAGAGGACAUCUUGCUCUUCUUACUUGUUGACAAAUCGACGUUCCUAGUCAUGCCCUACACCAAAAAAAUGGUAGAAGCUUUCACGGGAUGCAACCUUUGAAGGAACUCAGUAGCAGCUAGGAAGAGGAGAGAGAGGAGGAUAUUGAACCUUCAAUAAAUCUGAAAGAAUCAUCAGACUCUGAGGAAGAAAGCAUUGAUCCUCCUGUUAUGUGGAAUAUCCUAUCUACUCAUAUUUAGGUAACGUCGUUUCUUUAUGCAUUUGGUGUUGUUUGAUCAUACAGGCUAACUUGGAUACAGGAGUCCUAACUGUUGUUGUACCUGUAUUAAAUUUGCUAUAUUUGUUAUUCUUUUAGGGUGUGUUUGUUACGAUUGAAAAUGUUAUCUUAGAAAACAAGUGGGUUUCUUACUUAUUUUCUAAUGUUUGGUAAGUAAACAAAAACAUAUUAUCCCAAGGGCAUGUAUAUGUAAUCUAGCGAAACACUAAGGGAGUGGGGUGGGGUGGAGAGCGGCGGUUCGAAGGUGGCGGUGGUGGAUGUUCAAGGGGUGGGGGUUGGGAGCAUUGGGUGGGCGGGGAGGAUACAAUGAACUUGAAAUAUCACUUAUAAAACUUGUUUUCCCUCCUUCCAUUAGUAAAGUCAUUUUCCUCAUUUUUGUAGAGCUUGUUUUCCUAGAUAAAAUAUUUUCCAUAAUAUUUUGACCAAUCAAACAUGGGAAAAUUGGAAAUUUCCUCCAUACCAAACACACUCUUGGAGACAUGUAUGUUAUCCUGACUAUAAUAUUAAAUUUGCUGUCUUUCGUUCAUUUUCUCAACCCUAAAAGUUUCAUCAUGACAGGAGCUAAAUCCAAUGUCAAAGCUGAUGACGAAAUGAUCCGCUCGAAGAAGAGAUGUUUCGGUGGCUUGUCAGUGAUCUUUACAACCCUAAGAGGCCUCUAGGUUCUUACAUCGUUUUCAUGGAGGAGUUUAACAAGCAGUACCUGGAGGUGAAUACAAACAUCAAAUCUUUUGACGCCAUCGAGAAGUUGGUGGAGGCAAGUGGAAACAGAUGUCAGAUGCUGAGAAAGCUCCUUAUAUAGCAGAGGCACAGAAUAGGAGGGUCGAAUAUGCAAAGAUCUUGAACUCUUAUAACCCGCUGAUGGCUGCCGAAGAAGAGUGACAAGUCAAGAUCUGAGGUUGCUCCAUCCAAAGAUGGGGAAAAUCCUUGCUACGCACAUUUAGG